AGUCGAGCGGUAGCACAGGGGAGCUUGCUCCCUGGGUGACGAGCGGCGGACGGGUGAGUAAUGUCUGGGAAACUGCCUGAUGGAGGGGGAUAACUACUGGAAACGGUAGCUAAUACCGCAUAACGUCGCAAGACCAAAGAGGGGGACCUUCGGGCCUCUUGCCAUCAGAUGUGCCCAGAUGGGAUUAGCUAGUAGGUGGGGUAAUGGCUCACCUAGGCGACGAUCCCUAGCUGGUCUGAGAGGAUGACCAGCCACACUGGAACUGAGACACGGUCCAGACUCCUACGGGAGGCAGCAGUGGGGAAUAUUGCACAAUGGGCGCAAGCCUGAUGCAGCCAUGCCGCGUGUGUGAAGAAGGCCUUCGGGUUGUAAAGCACUUUCAGCGAGGAGGAAGGUGGUGAGCUUAAUACGUUCAUCAAUUGACGUUACUCGCAGAAGAAGCACCGGCUAACUCCGUGCCAGCAGCCGCGGUAAUACGGAGGGUGCAAGCGUUAAUCGGAAUUACUGGGCGUAAAGCGCACGCAGGCGGUUUGUUAAGUCAGAUGUGAAAUCCCCGGGCUCAACCUGGGAACUGCAUUUGAAACUGGCAAGCUAGAGUCUCGUAGAGGGGGGUAGAAUUCCAGGUGUAGCGGUGAAAUGCGUAGAGAUCUGGAGGAAUACCGGUGGCGAAGGCGGCCCCCUGGAC
Molecule: ribosomal RNA, 685 nt
Filed under: Serratia sp. (in: enterobacteria)
Lineage: Bacteria; Pseudomonadati; Pseudomonadota; Gammaproteobacteria; Enterobacterales; Yersiniaceae
Description: bacterial SSU rRNA
Rfam family: Bacterial small subunit ribosomal RNA
Source: RNAcentral